UGCAGCAGGCGAGAAUACUUUACAAUGUGCGAAAGCACGAUAAGGGAACUCUGAGUGCCUCCUAAGGAGGCUGUUCAGGUGUCUAAAAGCACCUGAAGGAAGGGCUGGGUAAGACCGGUGCCAGCCGCCGCGGUAACACCGGCAGCCCAAGUGGUAGCCACGUUUAUUGGGUCUAAAGCGUCCGUAGCCGGCUGGGGUAAGUUCCUUGGGAAAUUUGGCUGCUUAACAGUCAAGCUUUCAGGGAAUACUGCCCGGCUUGGGACCGGGAGAGGUCAGAGGUACUCCAGGGGUAGGGUGAAAUCCAUUAAUCCUUGGGGGACCACCGGUAGCGAAGGCGUCUGACCAGACCGGGUCCGACGGUGAGGGACGAAGGCUAGGGGCGCGAACCGGAUUAGAUACCCGUGUAG
Molecule: ribosomal RNA, 407 nt
Filed under: uncultured microorganism
Description: bacterial SSU rRNA
Rfam family: Archaeal small subunit ribosomal RNA
Source: RNAcentral